RNAcentral lists this long non-coding RNA (9935 nucleotides) under Eucalyptus grandis. Its description in RNAcentral is "long non-coding RNA (EGRA_LNC002640)". Lineage: Eukaryota; Viridiplantae; Streptophyta; Magnoliopsida; Myrtales; Myrtaceae. The record is from RNAcentral.
AGAUGAGAUAACGAAAUGGUCAGCCCCAAGCAGGCUCAGUGCUCCCUCCUUUUUAGAAAUGCUUGUACUGAACACUGUGACUUUCAGUCCAAAAGCCUUCCCAAACUUAACUGCCAAAUGACCGAGCCCGCCAAGUCCAAUUACACCUAGAGACUUACCAGGUUGGUUCUUUGUGACGUAUCAUUGGAGUGUACACCGUGAUUCCAGCACAGAGCAAUGGCGCUGCUAGAUCCAUCGGGUAGUUUUCUGGAAUCCUGAAGCAAUACCUGUCAAUGAAGCACCACGAUUAAGUUUCCAAAUAACACCAAGAGAGGAAGUGGUUUCCCAAUAGAAUCAGCAUCCUGUCUUUGUUGUCUAAAAGGAAUCAAAUCACAGAGCCAGACAUCCUAUCUUCCACAUGCUUGGGAAUUUUACUUGCUUAGACCACAAUUCAGCAUCAUGUUGUUUCUGUGAUCCUUGUUCUGACCACAAAUUGCUCAAGACAAACAUUUCUUGCUGUAGCAAUGUAAAUAAAGCAAUUGCAGCAUACAAGAGGCCACACUCGAUUAAAAUUAAGAAAAGACACUUGCUCUAAGAAAGGAAACUGGUGGCAUAUCACAUAUGCUUGACUGAACACGUAAUUUCUGUAUUUCCUUCAAUCAAUUUCUCCAAAGGACUCAAGAUUCCUGUGGCUCUAUCAGAAACAAGAAUUAGUGAAAGCACAUACAUUUAGCUACCCAUUUGAUCUGAUAUUUAUGAUCUAACUCUAACAAUCUAAGGACAGCUUAUUCCAUUCUUGACGAUGGUUAUUCAAAAGAAAGAAUUUCUUUUCGCAUUUAAUAAAGCCAAUUCUCCAUUGAAUGGUUUGAAUGGUAAUUGGAUACAGAGGACUUAAAGACUCUCCAGAGUCGUUAUAGAAAGUAUCUUUAUCCCGUUCCACAAGAUGCAAUUAAUGCCUAAAAGCCAUUCCUCACAGUCCUAUGCAUUAUGCCACUUCUGGUCACAAUCAGAAUAAGAAGAAAAUUAGCAGAGAAGAAGACAUGACAUGAAAUCUUUUUUUGGCCACCAUGAUUUGGAAUUCUGUCACAGUGCAAAAUGCUGCCUAAUAACACUGUGUCAAUAAGCAAUUACCUUUCAUGGACGACAAUGUGACUAGAAUAUCCUCCCUUUGUGACUGUACCAUCCGCAUCGAUUCCAUCAAAAGUCAAAACCGCCUUUUCACAUUGGGUUUCUAGCCUGUCAUUGCAAUACUCGCACUCUCUGCAUGAAUUGACAUAAGUUCCCACCCCCACAUGAUUGCCAACUUUGAAGCGUUGGACACUGGAGCCAACCUGUUUCACAAUUCCAACUAUCUCGAGCCUGAAUCAAUCAAAAAAAUCAUUUGCAAAUUUUGUUCAGAGAAUUAUGAGGAUGGUGCUAAGAAAAAAAGAUUAACAUUCGAAUCACGCUGCAUCCUACCCUGGCACCAGAGGAUACUUGGAGUGUCCCUGCACAUUCCUAGUCCAAGCCACAUCUGCAUAGCACACUCCACAGUGCGUGAUCUUAAUCGAGACGUCUUCGCUUCCCACGGCCCUAAAGAGAUGAUUCCCAAACAGGUGAGCAUAUAAUCCAGUGAAUAAUCAGACUAGGGUACCUUUUUUUUCCAUUUUCAAGAUCAACAAACUAAGCUUGACCUACGAUUAUCGAGAAAACAAGAAACCAGAAAUGAGAAAAGGAAAAAUUCCAUGACUACAAGCAUAUUUGUCCAUACGGUAGAUACAACCUCAAAUGCUCAGAAAGGCAGCCAGUACAGGAUCCUCAUGUCUGCCAUGAAAUUCUGAGUAACCCAUAACCAACAAUUCUCGACCCAGAAUUCAGCGCAUACACAACAAAAGAAAGAACGAAAAAAAAUGAAAUGGUCUGGACCGAAAACUGUCUCGCAUGAACACUUCGGUAGAAAUCGAAAAACAAAUGGCAAUACCUGCGGGUGAAUUUGUAGGGGGAGAGGAACCCAGAAGGGUCCCGGGCAGCCCAACCGAGGCAAUCCUCCUUCCCACCCUCCGAGCUCAUCUUCUGUACCUACACACCCAGCGAAGCAAUCACACAAACGGGUACGGUUAGAUUCAUCCAAAGAAGAAGAAGAAGAAGAAAGGGUGAGAACUCGAACGAGAGAGUGCCCAAGAUCAGAGACUCGACGGGUCAUCACUAGGCGACGACUCGAGUCACAACAAGCUCGCCAUCACUCACUCACCUACACCCACCUACCCAAACACAACCCCACAGCAACUCAGAGAGAGAGAGAGAGAUGACUACGGAGAUGGAGAGAGGUUACGCGGUGGAGUAUGCGGGAGCGCGAAGAGGGUGAUGAGCCGAGCAGAGCCGAGGACGGGAGGUUCAACGAAGACUUUGCCCCCUCCCUACCUUGCAGGAGAGCUGCGAGUAAUCCGAUGGAUUAAAUUGGAAGGAAAAAUUAUCCCAAACUUUAGCUCAAUAUGUAACGUCAUCUAUAAAUUUUUAAUUUACUCGAUAUGAUUAUAUUAUAUGUUAUUGCAAAUUUUAAAUUAAUGGAAUAACAAUGUUGAAUAUUUUUAUAUAUUGAAUAUAUAUUAAAAGUUCAUUAACUAUAUUAAAUAAGUUAAAAGUUUACAGACUAUAUUUCGCAUUACAUUAAAGUUCAAGGACAACAUUAAAUAAAUUAAAAAUUUAGGGAUUACAUUGCAUGUUAGAUCAAAAUUCAAGAUCAUUUAUGUGGUUAUCACAAAUAACUACUAUCAAUGGAAUUACCAUUAGGAAAUUGAAUAUCUAAACGGAGUCGAAGAUAAGUAUUUAAGUUUGUCAUGCCCCGAACCCCGAAGGCGUGUCCAUCUCUCUUUGGUCGAUAAUAUUUUGUGACUUCUCAAGACAAGUCGUCAACCCUUUUUGUUUUAUUGCACAUGCGAAAGCAAAUAAUAAAUCUCCUGUUAGUAAUCAUCUUGGGAUAGAAACAUGACAACAGAUUCAUAAACAAACAUGCUUUUGUAAUUACAUAGUCAUGUAUAGGGUUUAUGACCAAAAGAUCACAAGGACUGGCUUUUAAAAAAGAAACGGUUCUAAUUGACCUACAUUUCUGAUCAUCUCCUCUCAGCUCUAGGUCCUUCACUUGACGACUUUGAAAGACAAUGUCUCAGUAAGUCCAUCUACUAAACCCUGAUUAUGAGGGAAAUACGCUUCAGGACACUCUAGUCACACAACCACACAAUUAGAUAGGAAACUUAUCUCGCCUUAGUUUCUUCCUAUAGAUUAGCACAAUUCAUAUCUCAAAUGCAUGCAAUUUAUGCAUAUGACAAUUAAAACGCCUUACUUUUCUUAAUCAAUUACAAGGGUCUCAGCCCAGUUCAUCAUAGGAGUCUCAAUUAUAAGACCAAACUGUUAUGAUACAAUCCAUAUCAUGCCACGCAAUUUUGUCUCAUAAUCAAGCGCAUCAAACUCAGACAAUCAUGCGUUCCAAUUGUUAAUUAAGCCACUCAAGGCACUGUCGACAUCCAUGUUCGAUAGUCUAUUGGCAUAGCCAGGUAUCGUCUCUUCCUCAUAGAGCACGGCUACGUCACAUUGGCGACUAUCCCGAACGCGCUUAGGUCCAGAAUCUACUACGACCCGCUACCCUAAUGCAUGGGUAACCUGAAAAGUGGGAUUUAGUAAUGUCCAGCGUAAACGCUAGGACGGGUUCACUUUAACCAACACACGACCACUCAAUCUCGGCCUAGGAUACUGUGCAUUGUACACAAAUGCCUUAAUUAAAGUAGUGAUCCUGGUAUAUUUUCUUCGUAUUAAAAACAUUCCAGAAAAUAGUCGUGUGUGGGUAUACAAUCAGAUUGAACCCAAAAAAUUCAUAACAUUCUUUUAAAAAAUCCAAUGGUUUAUACUGUAUAUAAAACCAUUUUCGGUAUUUAAAACCCGACACCCAAGAUUUUCUGAAUAAAUAACAAAUUUUAUAAAUUUUUAGAAUAAAUGUCCAAAAAUCCAAUUAACACUCAAUUUGCGUAAUUUAACACUCGAUUGUAGAAAUUAACCACACCAUUGCAAUUAGUACGAAAUUCCGAUCAUUGGCUAUCCCGGCCUAAUUUGCGGAAAAUAUUUAAUAAUUAAUUAAUUUCUAAAAUUAAUUAAAUAAAUCAAUUUAAAUACUAAAAUGCCAACCUAGGCCAAAAUCACUAAAUUAAAUACCAACACGGACCCAAAAAAUUCUUGAACCCUUCUAGAUAAAUAACACAAUUUAUCUAGGUCUCACUUAAUCUAAUCUAAUCACCUAACAUGUAUAAUUGCAUAAUUAAAUCACUAAAUUAAUCUAACUAACCACCUAAUUCAUAAUUAAAUAAAUAUAAACACAUCUUAGACAUCAUUAGCCUACUAAGAAGAGUUUAGUGAAUAAACUCACCGGUUAAUUGCGAAAACCGGUUCACUGCGAUGAUGACGUGACAGCAGCUGAAAUCCGAAUUUUCGGUAGCAUCGAUAGACACUCAGACCGGGCACAAAAACCUUGCAAGCCCACAGCAAAUUGCUAGGCUUGGUCUGGGCUUGACCUGAACUUGGGCCUGAGCUUGGGCUGACUUGCUUUGUGGGCUUGGGCUCGGAACAAAAGCUGAAAUUACGAACUAGGCUUGCGACACUUGCUGGGCUUGACUGAAGAUGGGCUACUGCGCAGGCUCAAAGGAGCUGCUGGGCCGGAAUUGUCGCAGUGAAGAUGGACUUCAAAUUGCUGGGCCGAGAAGCCUAGCCCGUUCACGGCCACAGCUGGGCUGAGCUAGGGCCGAAGACACAAAAUGGAGAAACGGGCGUGGAAGCUGGGCUGCUUCAACUUCGCUGGAAACGUGGAUGGCUUGAAGGAACUGAGGCAGCCACGAAGAUGGAAGAAGCAACGUCGACGAACUGCUUGGGACGAUGGCAGCUGGUGGAAGAGUCAACUUCGGUGGUCACAUGGGCUGGCUUAUUGACCGAGAGAGGGCAGGCGGUGGACGUGUGGCAGCUACUGGAUCCGCGUGAGGCUUCGGUGGGUUUUGUUUCGCGGAGAUGAGCUGCUCGGUUGAAAGAAAAAUCGGUGGUGUUGAGCUGGCGAUGUGCAGGCGUGCGUCGUUGAAGAUUUCUUGGUCAAUAAACGGCAAUAUGACAAAGAUGGUGGCUGGCUUCGGUUUUGAGGGAUAAUGGGGAGAAAACAAAGUUGCAGGUGUGCGGCGUGGAUGACCGAAGGGGAUUGGGCGAAGGAAAUGAAAAUAAAAGAAUGAAAGGAACGGCAGAAGCUGAGGAAGAAGUGUUCGUUUUUCUUGGUGAGUGAUAGAGAGACAAAAAGUCCAACACUCAGCCAAAUUCAUAAAUGCUUGGUCCCCUUAGACCUUCACUCUUAUCCCUUUUGUCUCCAAUUACUUUCUAAGCUUUCUCUUCACCAAUAAACCUAAUUUUGAAGCCCAAAAUUGUUGCCCUUUUCCAAAUCCGAAUUUCACAAUUUUUGGCCUUCAAUUUCUUCAACAAUUUCCCAAAUUCGACGUCCAAUUUUGAUGUAAAAAAAACCUACAUAAUUUCUACUAGUCCCCCUCGCCAUAUAGCUCGGUUUGCAAGGCGAAAAUCUCUUCAUUUUGACUGAUCCGAAUUUCCACUAAUUUUUCGCAACGUCCAAAUCGAUUUUUCGUAAAAAUCUCGGGAUCCUCAAAAAAUCUUCGGAGGAUGACGACGUUCCUAAAAUAGAUCGUGACAUGAUAGAAAUUUUAAUUUUUAAAAUCGGGUUCAAGUUCGCGGUUAAUUUCAAUCCAACGCGUUUUUAGCGUGACCUAAUCUACUAGGUAACUUUUAUGAAUUUUUUGUACAAUUGACCCGUGAUCGAUUUAUCUCGAGUCACAUUGUACAUAUUCGAUACAUGACGACUCUCGAUUGUUGUGAAAAUCUCGAGAUAUCAAUUACGGGCACCAGGUACCAAAACGAUAGAAAAUCGAUUUAGUGCCGAUCGACGAGUAUUUUGCAAUUAGGUGGAAUCACUUACACUCUAAUCACACAUCUCACUCAAGUUAACCUAUCUUCGGUCUCUAAUUGAUUUCGACAGUAUUGUAAUGACCCUUCCAGAUCAACACGGUUAAGCAAUCAAUUCCUGGUCGAAUUCUCAAGUCCAUUGUAUUUAGAUUCCUUAAUUGUUUCUCCAGAUAGUCUAGUUAUCUUGUGAGUGAUCGGCUCAAAGAAUAGCACUAUCAACGCGUCGACGAAAGGCCCAAUUUAUUUAAUUGAAAACGAAUUAUGAAAGUUCAAGCUGUCACAAAGUUUGCCCUAAGCAUUGAAAAAUAAAAUAAAAUAAGGGGACAAUCUAAAGAGUUUAGUACAAUUUUAGUCUUGGGAGUUUCUAUGUUACAUAUGAUCUAGUCCUCUAACUUUUCUAUUUUUAUACACUCAAAUCUUUUGUCAUAUUUAGUUUUUAUGCAAUUAAGUUUUAUUUUUUCAUUCAAGUCAAUCAACGUUCUCAACUAGUGCAAUCGAGUACUUCACUCACCCAUCAUAACACACAAUUCCAUUUUUCUUUUUCUAAGUUUACUUUUCGCUUAUUUGGCACCACCUCAACAUUGUGCGAUAUUUUCUACCUCAAUGAUAAUACUAUGUUAUUGAUUACUAUGACGCAUUCAGCAAGAGGAUUUAUUGAACGAUUUAAUUGCACGAAUCAAGAAAGUUAGAAGACUUGAUUGAACAAAAUAUAAAGUUAAGAGGAUCAAAUUGUGCCGAUAUGGAAAUUUGGAUGACUAAAAUUGCAUCAAACCCUUUUAUAGGGAGAUGGGUCAGCCACAAUAACAUAUUCUUUUUCAGUGACUGGCUUUGACACAACCAAUACAACAGUAGUACGAAAAUGAAAGAUGAGUGGACAAAAGAAGGGCAACAGAUGUUAAACGAAACCUGUUUCCCAAAAGCACCAUGCAGAAACUUCCUUUCAUUGGAAAAUUUUUCUUGAAACGGAACUAAAGAUUACUGGCUUCGACAUAAUCGAUGAACAUACCAAGAGCUGAGGCCUUAUCCAACAACAACGUGAAAAUGAAAAAUGAGUUGAAAAGAAAUGGACAGCAGCUGUCAAAUUAAACAUUUUUUCCAUGUCUCGUUCAGAACUUGUCACUCCCUCAUUACCAUCUUGACCCUUUUGAAAUUGGAAGUGAAGGUUACUGGCUUCGACAUGACCAAUGUAUAACUUGUCGCUCAUGCAAUAUGGUAUAUAGAAAUGAAAGAUGAGUAGAAAAAGAAAUGGACGAUUGCUGUCAAAUUAAAACCUUUCCCAAGUCAACUUGUCGCUCCCCUUCCUUCCAUUAAAAUGCUUUUAUGGUGGAACUGAAGAUUACUGGCUUUGACACAACCAAUGUAAACCCUCCAAGAGGUGAGAGAACUUAUGCAAAAGUAUAAAAAUGAAAGACAAGUCGAAAAGAUGAGGACAAUAACCAAACGCGUGCAACUCAAUUGCACUUUUCGAUAAGGAUAAACUGUACCUCUCCUCAUCAUUGAAAGAGAUAGGAUUAAACGCAGACGUGAUUGACAUAGAGAUUCUUACUAGAAAUUAAAUAAAAAUAAGUCUUUCUUGGUAACAGGAUGUUUGUUCUCGUGACCGUGUAGGUCUUUCUAGGUUCUCUGACGCGUGCCAUGAGGUCAUGGCAUGUUAUGCAACCAGAGAUAUCCAUUCCAUAUUUCUAUGGUAACUAUCCAUCGUUACCUCCUGUGAACCUAAGAAGAACAAAACCAAUCCAUAAAGCUGUGGAGGAUCAAGAACAACCCGCCCUAAGUUAUUGAUGAACUGAGUUAACUGUUUGAAGCCUAAGUAGCGAAUCAUUUAAAGUUUAAGCUACUAAAAUGUCAGAUGCCAAACAGAAGGAAAAUCUACAGAGCCAACAUCUGCAUCGGAUCAACGAUGGCAUAUCAACAACUAAGGGAAAAAUCUGCUACUAAAUAUUUAUCUGAAACUACAAGCGAGGAUCGCGUUGCACUUGCAUAAGUCUGUUAACGCAGGUCAAUGGUCAUGUUCUGGCCAGCUAUGUAAGAAGUUUGAAAACUCUACACGGACAGGCACCAUUUGCAAGAAGACCUGUUCCCUCAAAUGCUCAUCUUUGUACUGAGCUGGAAAUGCUUUUAGCAGAUGACUGUGCCUCCAGAAACAAAUCGCACGAAGUGGCCCACAAUUCUCUGGCAAGUCCGGUGUCGUACGAAACUGAAGAAGAGUUGAUAGUCCGGCACUUCCCACCAAAGAAUACACACCAGAAAUUUCCUAUAUUUGCAAGACAGCGGCUAUUAGUAAGCACUGUUCCAACAUAUAAUAGCAGCCGCAUAAGAUUGAUACCACAGAUUAUCAGCAGAGAAGGGAAAAUCAAUUCUGGAAACACUCUGUCAUACCGUAGAAUCAACAUUAAUGGAUUUUAUGUCCAAUGCUAGUACGACCUCAAUUGAGGAUAAAACGAGAGAGACUCAUUCAAGAUGGUUCAGAUAAGUGAAGCACCAGUACAGGAAUGCUUUACACCAGCCCCAUUUAGUGGGAAAAAAUCACUAUCACCCAUAUCUGCAGCUGUGGUUGCCUAUUGAGAUGAAACACAAGUGAUUUCAUUGCAGUCCCAUCUAGCAGUCCCAUCUAGCAUAUAGCAGAAAUUAAAGAUAACGAUUGCAGUCAGAAAAACACAUAAGAGAAUUGUUGCUGUAACUCUCUUUACUUUAUUCAUCAGAACAUAAGCCUAUUAAAUACGCAGAACAUCCAAACCACUAAGCAAGAAAAUAGCUAUAGAACAACAACAACAAAGACCCACUAACACACCCCACUGACCAGAACAUGUGGAGAAACUAACUCCUAAAAACAAGCCACUUCCUAUUGAAUAGGACUCCACUAUUACAUUAUUGAAGACAUGUAAAAACUGAAAGUUCACUACUUCAACAAUUGAUGGUGUCACUUCAAGGAGUUCUCAAUGUCGAUCACAAAUCGAUACUUAACAUCUCUCUUGAUGAGCCUCUCUAGAGCUUCGUUGGCAUAAUCGAUCGGUAUCACUUCGAUAUUUGGGUAUAUCUUCUGCGCUGCACAUAGGUCUAUCAUUUCUUGGGUAUCCUUUGUUCCUCCCGUUAGGCUACCUGAAACAGUUCUCAUAUCUGCCAAAAGUUCACCGCGAGCAACUUAGUUCACCUAUCAGGUAUAAAAUUUCUUUUAGUAAUCAGAUUUAGAACAAAAACAUACUGUGGUUAAGGCUGGCUGGACUGAAUUUAACUUCGCUCGAGCCGACCAAUGCUAGAAUGCCACCCGUCUUCAAAACAGACAUGUAAGGAUCAAAUGGGUGAUUGCCGGAUGCCGUGUCAAUUAUAAAGUCCAGGGACUUAGCAAUGGCCUGCGUGCAUUGGAUUUAUCAGAUCACAACAGAAUUUGACCACCAUGGAUCUCAAUGUGGGAUAAUUCUAGUUUUUCCUUUUUUUACCUUCAUUUGCUCUACGUCAGAUGAGAUAACGAAAUGGUCAGCCCCAAGCAGGCUCAGUGCUUCCUCCUUUUUAGAAAUGCUUGUACUGAACACUGUGACUUUCAGGUCCAAAAGCCUUCCCAAACUUAACUGCCAUAUGACCGAGCCCGCCAAGUCCAAUUACACCUAGAGACUUACCAGGUUGGUUCAUCUUGUGACGUAUCAUUGGAGUGUACACCGUGAUUCCAGCACAGAGCAAUGGCGCUGCUAGAUCCAUCGGGUAGUUUUCUGGAAUCCUGAAGCAAUACCUGUCAAUGAAGCACCACCAUUAAGUUUCCAAAUAACACCAAGACAGGAAGUGAUUUCCCAAUAGAAUCAGCAUCCUGUCUUUUUUGUCUAAAAGGAAUCAAAUCACAGAGCCAGAAAUCCUAUCUUCCGCAUGCUAAGGAAUUUUACUUGCUUAGACCACAAUUCAGCAUCAUGUUGUUUCCGUGAUCCUUGUUCUGACCACAAAUUGCUCAAGACAAACAUUUCUUGCUGUAGCAACGAAAAUAAAGCAAUUGCAGC